UAUAGCCUUUAGAAAUGAAGAUUAAUCCCCCAUAGUCUCUUAGAGUGGCAUCACUUCUAGAGUAAAGGUUACGGUAUAAGAUGAGUAUGCGUUCUAUUAGUUUGUUGGUGUGGUAACGGCACACCACCACUACGAUAGAUAGGGGCCCUGAGAGGGGGAUCCCCCACACUGGUACUGAGACACGGACCAGACUCCUACGGGAGGCAGCAGUGAGGAAUAUUGGACAAUGGAGGCAACUCUGAUCCAGCCAUGCCGCGUGCAGGAAGACUG
This 270-nucleotide ribosomal RNA is filed under the name uncultured Bacteroidota bacterium. Its description in RNAcentral is "uncultured Bacteroidetes bacterium partial 16S ribosomal RNA". It matches the Rfam family "Bacterial small subunit ribosomal RNA", at positions 142 to 414 of the family's 1533-position model. Lineage: Bacteria; Pseudomonadati; Bacteroidota. The record is from RNAcentral.